GACGAACGCUGGCGGCGUGCUUAACACAUGCAAGUCGAACGGUAAGGCCCUGCUUUUGUUGUUUUCUCGAGUGUCGCACGCGUGAGUAACACGUGAGUAACCUGCCCUUUACUUUGGGAUAACUUCAUUAAACUGGAGCUAAUACCGGAUAUGAGCUCCUGCUGCAUGUUUGGGUUUUUAAAGUUUCGGCGGUUGGGGAUUGACUCGCGGCUUUUCAGCUUGUUGGUUGGGUAGUGGCUUACCAAGGCUUUGACGGGUAGCCGGACUGAGAGGGUGACCGGACACAUUGGGACUGAGAUACGGCCCAGACUCAGACGGGAGGAAGCAGGGGGGAAUAGUGCAAAAUGGGCGGAAGCAGGAAGGAGGAACGCCGCGUGCGGGAUGACGGCCUUAGGGUUGGAAACCGCGUUAGACUGGGAAGAAGCGUGAGUGACGGUAAUGGGUAAAGAAGCAACGGCUAACUACGUG
Molecule: ribosomal RNA, 468 nt
Filed under: uncultured bacterium
Lineage: Bacteria
Description: partial 16S ribosomal RNA
Rfam family: Bacterial small subunit ribosomal RNA
Source: RNAcentral